UGGUUCUGGCAUCGAUGAAGAACGCAGCGAAAUGCGAUAAGUAAUGUGAAUUGCAGAAUUCAGUGAAUCAUCGAAUCUUUGAACGCACAUUGCGCCCACUGGUAUUCCGGUGGGCAUGCCUGUUCGAGCGUCAUUACGACCCUUACGCCCUGUUGCGUAGCGUUGAGGUUCUACCGCCCGCGGUAGUUCUCUAAAGUCAGUGGCGGCGUCGGAUCACACGCUAAGCGUAGUAACUUUUCUCGCUUUUGCCCGUGGGCCCGGCGGCAGCCAUAAGCCAUCUAUUCUAGUGGUUGACCUCGGAUCAGGUAGGAAUACCCGCUGA
RNAcentral lists this unclassified non-coding RNA (322 nucleotides) under uncultured fungus. Its description in RNAcentral is "partial contains 5.8S ribosomal RNA and internal transcribed spacer 2". The stretch from base 1 to 133 matches the Rfam family "5.8S ribosomal RNA", at positions 22 to 154 of the family's 154-position model. The record is from RNAcentral. Lineage: Eukaryota; Fungi.